CAUGGUGGAGGAAGCCCGUCGCCUCCAGGGAUCUGGCCCUGAACCCCUCUGUGUCCACUGCAGUGCGGGUUGUGGGCGAACAGGCGUCCUGUGCACCGUGGAUUAUGUGAGGCAGCUGCUCCUGACCCAGGUACGAUGCAGGCAUCCCGUGUGUGCAGUGUGCUGCCCAUGACCACGUGUCCUGCUCAAGUGCCUUGUCUGUCUGCCCCAGAUGAUCCCACCUGACUUCAGUCUCUUUGAUGUGGUCCUUAAGAUGAGGAAGCAGCGGCCUGCGGCCGUGCAGACAGAGGAGCAGUACAGGUUCCUGUACCACACGGUGGCUCAGAUGUUCUGCUCCACGCUCCAGAAUGCCAGCCCCCACUACCAGAACAUCAAAGAGAAUUGUGCCCCACUCUACGACGAUGCCCUCUUCCUCCAGACUCCCCAGGCACUUCUCGCCAUACCCCGCCCACCAGGAGGGGUCCUCAGGGCGCUAGGGACACAGAAGCGAGGCCUCCAACCCAAGGAGCCCUCCCUCCCAUCUAGCGCACCGCCUCGGCGGGAAGGAAGCCCGUGGUUUGCGCGCUGAGCAGCCUCCCCACUCCCGCCCUGCCCAGCGCCGCCGUUUCACUUCCUCCCGGCCCUCCCUGCCUGCAGGAGCAUCUCUGUGCCCGGGUCCCCGGGCCACGCCAUGGCUGACAUCUACGCGGUGGUGCAGAAGCGCGGGGCUCCAGCGGGCGCCGGGCGUGGGACGCAGACGGGGACGGGGGCGCGCAGCGCGGACGAGGCGCCGCUCUACAGCCAGGUGACGCCGCGCGCCCAGCGACCCGGGGCGCACGCGG
Molecule: small RNA, 821 nt
Filed under: Pan troglodytes (chimpanzee)
Lineage: Eukaryota; Metazoa; Chordata; Mammalia; Primates; Hominidae
Description: retained intron
Source: RNAcentral